GGCUAGCCUCAUGGUGUGGUGGUUUGAACAUUGGACUAUGACUCUGGAAAACCGGGUUCGAAUCCCUGUUUAGCCA
This is a non-coding RNA of Phrynosoma platyrhinos (Desert horned lizard), 76 nucleotides long. The record is from the annotation of a GenBank genome assembly. Lineage: Eukaryota; Metazoa; Chordata; Lepidosauria; Squamata; Phrynosomatidae.